AAACACUGGAUCUCCUACUUCAGUUUUGUCUGCUCAUGGUUCAGACAUGCUGGGAUCAGCAUCUUUGCAUCAACAAAACAGAUGCUCUUCACCGACUUCAUGUACCACUGAUGUACCCUCUAUUGGUCUAGCUGUAAUUGAGAAGCAACCUGAAAUAUUCAAAGAAGAAGAUAAAGGUUGUCUCUCCUCAACUCAGAUGCCCAGUGGCUUGACCUUGGGAAAUUUACCUUCAAUGGUACAGUAAAAUCUCAGCUCAUAACUAGUUUACAUCAUUCUUAGAUGACCGCGGGAUUGUGACUUUGUUUUUUGUGAUCUUGAUCGUAACUCUUCCAGAAUUGUGAUUUAAGUUCAAGAAACACUUCUUCUCCUGAGGAAAUUGGAGGCACUGAAGCACCCUCCAUCAAGCUCUUUGGAAGGACAGUUUUGGUCACCGAAAUCCAAAAACCAGAUCAUCAAGAAGCGGGCAUUAAAAAAUCACCUGUGCAGAAGACUGGUGAAGACGAUUCAGUUACUGAGGAUGAGGGACUGGGUAAACCUCUAUCUUCAGUAGAAUUUGACAUGCAGUUGUCUCUUGGACUAGCUUGUGGUAACAAUGGAUUCUUGCACUCUGGUGCCCAUGCUGCCACUGCCAUGAAACUUCAGAAAGAGGAUGUUGAAUCUUCACGGUUUACUUCUGAUUGUUUCUUGCCAUGGUGGCCUUUGUACCAAGGUCCACCAUUCAUCUAUGUGACACCAUCUGACUCAACCUUGAUUCAAGGAC
RNAcentral lists this long non-coding RNA (760 nucleotides) under Eucalyptus grandis. RNAcentral's name for it is "long non-coding RNA (EGRA_LNC006496)". The record is from RNAcentral. Lineage: Eukaryota; Viridiplantae; Streptophyta; Magnoliopsida; Myrtales; Myrtaceae.